AGCGUAGACGGGCCGGUAAGUUGGAAGUGAAAUCUAUGGGCUUAACCCAUAAACUGCUUUCAAAACUGCUGGUCUUGAGUGAUGGAGAGGCAGGCGGAGUUCCGUGUGUAGCGGUGAAAUGCGUAGAUAUACGGAGGAACACCAGUGGCGAAGGCGGCCUGCUGGACAUUAACUGACGCUGAGGCGCGAAAGCGUGGGGAGCAAACA
RNAcentral lists this ribosomal RNA (207 nucleotides) under uncultured bacterium. Its description in RNAcentral is "partial 16S ribosomal RNA". It matches the Rfam family "Bacterial small subunit ribosomal RNA", at positions 568 to 774 of the family's 1533-position model. The record is from RNAcentral.